AGAGUUUGAUCCUGGCUCAGGACGAACGCUGGCGGCGUGCCUAAUACAUGCAAGUCGAGCGAGCGAGAUGAACGGAAUACUUCGGUAGGAAGUUCAGAUUGCGAGCGGCGGAUGGGUGAGUAACACGUAGGCAAUCUACCCUUAAGCGGGGGAUAACACCUGGAAACAGGUGCUAAUACCGCAUAAAACUAAGGACGCCUGUUCUAAAGUUAAAAGACGGUGAGAGCUGUCACUUAAGGAUGAGCCUGCGGCGUAUUAGCUAGUUGGCAAGGUAAGAGCUUACCAAGGCGAUGAUACGUAGCCGACCUGAGAGGGUAAUCGGCCACAUUGGGACUGAGACACGGCCCAAACUCCUACGGGAGGCAGCAGUAGGGAAUCUUCCACAAUGGACGCAAGUCUGAUGGAGCAACGCCGCGUGGAUGAAGAAGGUCUUCGGAUCGUAAAAUCCUGUUGUUGAAGAAGAACGUAUGUGAGAGUAACUGCUCAGAUAGUGACGGUAUUCAACCAGAAAGUCACGGCUAACUACGUGCCAGCAGCCGCGGUAAUACGUAGGUGGCAAGCGUUG
Molecule: ribosomal RNA, 565 nt
Filed under: Bombilactobacillus mellifer
Lineage: Bacteria; Bacillati; Bacillota; Bacilli; Lactobacillales; Lactobacillaceae
Description: bacterial SSU rRNA
Rfam family: Bacterial small subunit ribosomal RNA
Source: RNAcentral